AUCACGCUGGCGGAAUGCUUUACACACGCAAGUCGAACGGCAGCACGGACUUCGGUCUGGUGGCGAGUGGCGAACGGGUGAGUAAUGCAUCGGAACGUGCCCAAUCGUGGGGGAUAACGUAGCGAAAGUUACGCUAAUACCGCAUACGAUCUAAGGAUGAAAGCGGGGUGAUCGCAAGACCUCGCGCGAAUGGAGCGGCCGAUGUUACGAUUAGGUAGUUGGUGGGGUAAAGGCUCACCAAGCCGACGAUCUAUAGCUGGUCUGAGAGGAUGAUCAGACCACAACUGGGACUGAGACACAGGCCCAGACUCCUACGGGAGCGCAGCAGAUGGGGAAUUAUUAGGACAAUGGUGCGAAAGCCAUGAUCCAGCCAUUCCGCGUGCAGGAUGAAGGCCCAUCCGAGGUCGUAAACUGCUUUUGUACGGAACGAAAAGGUCCUGAUUAAUACCUGCGGGACUCAUGACGGUACUGUACAGAAUAAGACACCAGGACUAACUACGUGACCAACAGCACAGAAGGUAAUAACGAUAGGGUGCAAAGCGUCAAAUCGGAAUUACCU
This 559-nucleotide ribosomal RNA is filed under the name uncultured beta proteobacterium. RNAcentral's name for it is "bacterial SSU rRNA". It matches the Rfam family "Bacterial small subunit ribosomal RNA", at positions 33 to 541 of the family's 1533-position model. Lineage: Bacteria; Pseudomonadati; Pseudomonadota; Betaproteobacteria. The record is from RNAcentral.